Lathyrus oleraceus (garden pea) is the source of this 1333-nucleotide long non-coding RNA. RefSeq lists it as uncharacterized. The record is from RefSeq and is a predicted model, not a curated record. The transcript has 4 exons. NCBI's taxonomy places the organism in Eukaryota, Viridiplantae, Streptophyta, Magnoliopsida, Fabales, Fabaceae.
ACAGAAAUGGGAGGGAAAGGAAAGCUUAGCUUCAACUAUAGAGCAUGUGGUUCACAUGUAACACUCUUUCCACAUGUUCAGUUUAAACUAAAACAUAUUCAUCACUUAUCCCUCCCAUCCGAGUAUCUCCGCCGCGCCGGAGCUCGUCACCGGUAGCGGUGGAGCACCAAAUACCGUAACCAAUUAUACCAUUUCAAUCCAAAAUUUGAGCUCUAACUAAAUCUCAUGUUAAUUUCCACUAAAACCUCCUAAAUUAUCUAGAUCGAUCCAAUUUAUCUCAUGAACCCUAACUACUCAAACAAAAAUUAACCUUUUAUAUGGAGGAAUCCAAGACCCUAAGGUUAGGGAUUUUAUUCCUCAGUCUCUCCCCUACAUGGUGGUAACUAUAAAAAUUCCUAAAGAUGAAGAAAUGUCACUUACCUUCCGAAGAUAUGAAGUUUGAGCUUGAAGGUCUUGAUGGAGAAGAUUUCAGGUGAUGGUUGAAUGAAUCAUGUGAAGUGUUAUGGAUUACAAAUGGUGAUAAUUUACUAAACAGGUUUUACUGCAUGGGUCAUUUGCUUGACAAAUGCAGGUCGUGUUUAAUUUACAGGUUUCAGGUUAAUGAUUUGCAAGAGCAGGUAAUGUUUCAACAGGUUUUGGUUAAUUGAUUGGCAAAUGCAGGUUUGUUAGGCUGAUGAUGACCUGUUGAUGAAGGUUUAGUUGUAACUCACAAACUAGUUAAAUGGUUAGGUGUUAGGAGCAACUUGAUGGGUGAGCAAUGUUAUUGCAUUCUUGUUGCAUGUCAAGGCAGCUUCCAAAUGCAUUGAAUGAAGGGUGGGAUAAGCAUGUAGCAAAGUUAAGUGCAGCAGGGCCUAGAUGCAACAGGACAAGUUGCAUCAGGGUAUACCAUGGCACCAAAUCAGGGCUAGGACUUGGUAUUUGGUCAUGGUUUCAAGACAUGGCAAAUUAAAUGGCAAAAACAAGGCUUGGUGCAAAAAUGUGGUUUUCUUGUUCAUGAAGAAACUUGGUCAUGGAAUCACAUGGAAAGAUUAGAAAGGAUAUGGAAUUCAAGUAGGCAUUAGGGUUAGGUCAUCGCAUGCAACCACUGCCUCUAUGAUUUCGGCUUUGGGGUCAUGCAUUAACUUGUUUAUUGCUUUUUGGAUUUAUACAACUUCGAUUUCGGAUUGUAUCGAAAUACAUUUUUUUCUCUUCACCACCUAAGAUUUUAAGUCAUACUUCUACAAGUCUCAAGCUAAAUUCACUAUUUAUGAUGGAGCGUGAUAGUUCUUAUGAAUUAUGAUUGUCGGUGAAGGCAAUAUCAAAAUUAAUAGAUUAAUGUAGCUUAAAGUGAUUA